GACGAACGCUGGCGGCGUGCUUAACACAUGCAAGUCGAACGGAAAGGCCCUGCUUUUGUGGGGUUCUCGAGUGGAGAAGGGGUGUGUAACAUGUGUGUACCCUGCCCUUCUUUUUGGGAUCACUUCAGGACACUGGGGCUAAUCCCGGAUAGGAGCUUCUGCUGCAUGGUGGGGGUUGGAAAGUCUCGGCGGUUGGGGAUGGACUCGCGGCUUAUCCGUUUGUUGGUGGGGUUGUGGCUUACCAAGGCUUUGACGGGUCGCCGGCCUGAGAGGGGGACCGGCCACAUUGGGACUGAGAUACGGCCCAGACUCCAACGGGAGGAAGCAGUGGGAAAAAUGGCACAAUGGGCGGAAGCCGGAUGCAGCAACGCCGGGGCGGGAAUGACGGCCUUCGGGUGGAAAACCGCUUCCGCCUGGGACGAAGCGUGUGUGACGGUAAUGGGUAAAGAAGCACCGGCUAACUACGUG
RNAcentral lists this ribosomal RNA (468 nucleotides) under uncultured bacterium. Its description in RNAcentral is "partial 16S ribosomal RNA". It matches the Rfam family "Bacterial small subunit ribosomal RNA", at positions 28 to 507 of the family's 1533-position model. The record is from RNAcentral.